GCAUAUCAAUAAGCGGAGGAAAAGAAACCAACAGGGAUUGCCCCAGUAACGGCGAGUGAAGCGGCAACAGCUCAAAUUUGAAAUCUGGCCCCUUGGGGCCCGAGUUGUAAUUUGCAGAGGAUACUUUUGGCGAGGCGCCUUCCGAGUUCCCUGGAACGGGACGCCAUAGAGGGUGAGAGCCCCGUCUGGUUGGAUGCCGAGCCUCUGUAAAGUUCCUUCGACGAGUCGAGUAGUUUGGGAAUGCUGCUCUAAAUGGGAGGUAUAUGUCUUCUAAAGCUAAAUAUUGGCCAGAGACCGAUAGCGCACAAGUAGAGUGAUCGAAAGAUGAAAAGCACUUUGGAAAGAGGGUUAAAAAGCACGUGAAAUUGUUGAAAGGGAAGCGCUUGUGACCAGACGUGGGCCUGUCGGAUCAUCCAGCGUUCUCGCUGGUGCACUCCGGCGGGCUCAGGCCAGCAUCAGCUCGUCCCGGGGGACAAAGGCAGCGGGAAUGUGGCUCCUUCGGGAGUGUUAUAGCCCGCUGCGUAAUGCCCUGGGGCGGGCUGAGGUUCGCGCAUCUGCAUGGAUGCUGGCAUAAUGGUUAUCAGCGACCCGUCUUGAAACACGGACCAAGGAGUCGUCUUCGUAUGCGAGUGUUCGGGUGUCAAACCCCUACGCGUAAUGAAAGUGAACGCAGGUGAGAGCUUCGGCGCAUCAUCGACCGAUCCUGAUGUUCUCGGAUGGAUUUGAGUAAGAGCAUACGGGGCCGGACCCGAAAGAAGGUGAACUAUGCCUGUGUAGGGUGAAGCCAGAGGAAACUCUGGUGGAGGCUCGCAGCGGUUCUGACGUGCAAAUCGAUCGUCAAACAUGGGCAUGGGGGCGAAAGACUAAUCGAACCUUCUAGUAGCUGGUUUCCGCCGA
Molecule: ribosomal RNA, 897 nt
Filed under: Claviceps purpurea f. secalis
Lineage: Eukaryota; Fungi; Ascomycota; Sordariomycetes; Hypocreales; Clavicipitaceae
Description: LSU rRNA
Rfam family: Eukaryotic large subunit ribosomal RNA
Source: RNAcentral